CUAAAUCCCUUAACGAGGAACAAUUGGAGGGCAAGUCUGGUGCCAGCAGCCGCGGUAAUUCCAGCUCCAAUAGCGUAUAUUAAAGUUGUUGCCGUUAAAAAGCUCGUAGUUGAACCUUGGACUUGGCUGAUCUGUCCUCCUAAUCGAGCGCACGGAUUCGGUCGGGUCUUUCCUUCUGGGGAGCCCUAUGCCCUUCACUGGGUGUAGUGGGGAACCAGGACUUUUACCUUGAAAAAAUUAGAGUGUUCAAAGCAGGCCUUUGCUCGAAUACAUUAGCAUGGAAUAAUAGAAUAGGACAUCGGUUCUAUUUUGUUGGUUUCUAGGACCGCUGUAAUGAUUAAUAGGCAUAGUCGGGGGCGUUAGUAUUCAAUUGUCAGAGGUGAAAUUCUUGGAUUUAUUGAAGACUAACUACUGCGAAAGCAUUCGCCAAGGAUGUUUUCAUUAAUCAGUGAACGAAAGUUAGGGGAUCGAAGACGAUCAGAUACCGUCGUAGUCUUAACCAUAAACUAUGCCGACUAAGGAUCGGACGGUGGUUCUUUUAUGCCCCGUUCGGCACUUUACGAGAAAUCAAAGUUUUUGGGCUCGGGGGGGAGUAUGGUCGCAAGGCUGAAACUUAAAGAAUUUGACGGAAGGGCACCACCA
This 642-nucleotide ribosomal RNA is filed under the name uncultured Cladophialophora. RNAcentral describes it as "SSU rRNA". It matches the Rfam family "Eukaryotic small subunit ribosomal RNA", at positions 525 to 1172 of the family's 1831-position model. The record is from RNAcentral. Lineage: Eukaryota; Fungi; Ascomycota; Eurotiomycetes; Chaetothyriales; Herpotrichiellaceae.